CCUACGGGAGGCAGCAGUGAGGAAUAUUGGGCAAUGGAGGCAACUCUGACCCAGCCAUGCCGCGUGCAGGAAGAAUGCCCUAUGGGUUGUAAACUGCUUUUAUUUGGGAAUAAACCUUCCUACGUGUAGGAAGCUGAAGGUACCAAACGAAUAAGCACCGGCUAACUCCGUGCCAGCAGCCGCGGUAAUACGGAGGGUGCAAGCGUUAUCCGGAAUCAUUGGGUUUAAAGGGUCCGCAGGCGGACCAAUAAGUCAGUGGUGAAAUCCCAUCGCUCAACGAUGGAACUGCCAUUGAUACUGUUGGUCUUGAAUUCGGUCGAAGUGGGCGGAAUGUGUCAUGUAGCGGUGAAAUGCAUAGAUAUGACACAGAACACCGAUAGCGAAGGCAGCUCACUAGGCCUGGAUUGACGCUCAGGGACGAAAGCGUGGGUAGCGAACAGGAUUAGAUACCCUGGUAGUCCACGCCGUAAACGAUCAUUACUCGAUAUUGGCGAUACACAGUCAGUGUCCAAGCGAAAGUGAUAAGUAAUGCACCUGGGGAGUACGAUCGCAAGGUUGAAACUCAAAGGAAUUGACGG
RNAcentral lists this ribosomal RNA (578 nucleotides) under uncultured bacterium. Its description in RNAcentral is "bacterial SSU rRNA". It matches the Rfam family "Bacterial small subunit ribosomal RNA", at positions 338 to 916 of the family's 1533-position model. The record is from RNAcentral.